RNAcentral lists this microRNA precursor (91 nucleotides) under Gorilla gorilla gorilla (western lowland gorilla). Its description in RNAcentral is "mir-1324 microRNA precursor family". It matches the Rfam family "mir-1324 microRNA precursor family". Lineage: Eukaryota; Metazoa; Chordata; Mammalia; Primates; Hominidae. The record is from Rfam by way of RNAcentral.
CCUGAACAGGUGCAUGCAGCCUGGUCCUGCCCUCAGUGGGAACCCCCUUCCUCUUGGGUACUAGACAGAAUGCUGUACACUUUCCUGGAGG